UGUUUGAUCAACUGGACAAGUGGGAAUACUGAAACAUUAGUGUUAGUGGAGAUGAUAUGCCCUUAGAAACUGAAUGGGUUUGCUAAGGCGUAACUGUACUAAUACUGUAUGCUCUGGCGUCUAUGGAAACCGAGAGUUUCCAAGACGUGACUGUCUGUCAUCGAGUGUACUGUCCUGACGUCUGUGGGAAUCGGAGAGUUGCCAAGACGUAACUGUUGUCGCGUUGGUGGGAACUAGACUAGUUCGCCAUCGUGUGUCUGUAUUGUUGUCUGCGGAAACCCAAUCUG
This 287-nucleotide long non-coding RNA is filed under the name Brassica napus (rape). RNAcentral's name for it is "long non-coding RNA (BNAP_LNC019421)". Lineage: Eukaryota; Viridiplantae; Streptophyta; Magnoliopsida; Brassicales; Brassicaceae. The record is from RNAcentral.